Molecule: long non-coding RNA, 277 nt
Organism: Zingiber officinale
Lineage: Eukaryota; Viridiplantae; Streptophyta; Magnoliopsida; Zingiberales; Zingiberaceae
Exons: 3
Source: RefSeq, a predicted model, not a curated record
UCAAUGAUAUCUUGUAUCGUUUCAGUGCCUUUCUACACUGGAUUUCUUCCCAUUGUCUAUUGGAGUGGGCACAGGAAACUAGCGAGACAAAUGACACUGUUGAUUGCCUUCUGUGACUAUGUAGGGAACUCUAUAAAGAAUAUAGUGUCAGCUCCUAGACCGAUUUCUCCUCCUGUGAGGAGAGUGAAUGCUACAGAAGAAGAGAAAGAAAACUCAAUGGAAUAUGGUUUUCCAUCCUCACAUUGCUUAAAUACUGUCUGUCUCCUGGGGUAAUAAC